CCCUUAGAUGUACUGGGCUGCACGCGCGCUACACUGAUGUGUCCAGUAAGCACCUAACCUCUUCCGAAAGGAACGGGUAACCUUUGCAAAGCACAUCGUGAUGGGGAUAGAUUAUUGCAAUUAUUAGUCUUGAACGAGGAAUUCCUAGUAAGCACAAGUCAUCAGCUUGUGUUGAUUACGUCCCUGCCCUUUGUACACACCGCCCGUCGCUCCUACCGAUUGAAUGUUCCGGUGAGCUCUUCGGACUGCGCGGUCUGCAGUUUCUGCGUUCCGUGCGGAAAGUUGCGCAAACCUUAACAUUUAGAGGAAGGAGAAGUCGUAACA
RNAcentral lists this ribosomal RNA (324 nucleotides) under uncultured eukaryote. RNAcentral describes it as "partial 18S ribosomal RNA". It matches the Rfam family "Eukaryotic small subunit ribosomal RNA", at positions 1470 to 1796 of the family's 1831-position model. The record is from RNAcentral.